RNAcentral lists this long non-coding RNA (1997 nucleotides) under Homo sapiens (human). Its description in RNAcentral is "non-protein coding lnc-TMEM178A-1:18". Lineage: Eukaryota; Metazoa; Chordata; Mammalia; Primates; Hominidae. The record is from RNAcentral.
AGAGAGAAUGCUAACGAGCUGUGAAAUGACCAAAGAUCUGGCAGCAGAAGGGAAAAGAAAAAAUAAUGGAAUAUUUUCUGUCUACAAUUGGUUGAAUCUGUGGAUGUGGAAACUGCAGAUACAGAUGGAGAGCCGACUAUACUAGCUUUUUGUUUCAUUUUUCACUUCUGGUGUGUGUGUGUGUGUGUGUGUGUGUGUGUGUGUGUGUGUAUCUGUGUGUGUGUUUUAUUAAUCUCUGUGCCUGCAUGUUAGUUUCUUCCUCUUUAUUUGGAUUUUCACUAACAUUCUUUUCAGCUUCUUCAGUUGGAUACUUGUUGCCAAUAUAUUUUUUUUCAUUCUAAGAAUUAAAUAAAUGGGCCAGGCGUGGUGGCUCAUGCCUGUAAUCCCAGCACUUUGGGAGGCCAAGAUGGGUGGAUCACAAGGUCAGGUGUUUGAGACCAGCUUGGCCAAAGCUGGUGAAACUCCAUCUCUACUAAAAAUACAAAAAUUAGCUGGGCAUGGUGGUGCGCGUCUAUAAUCCCAGCUACUCAGGAAGCUGAGGCAGGAGAAUCACUUGCACCCAAGAAGUGGAGGUUGCAGUGAGCCAAGAUUGCGCCAUUGCACCCCAGCCUGGGCAACACAGCGAGACUCCAUCUGAAAAAAAAAAAAAAGAAUAAAUGAAUGUAUUAAUCACCAAACUGCUCUUCAUCAGAAACUCUUAGCAGUGGUAUGUUGAGGUCUCCCUGCCUACCGUAUAUGUCUCUUAACUCUGCGGGUGCAAUAUUUUGUCAUGGGUCAGUUUAGCAAUAUUGUACUAUUUCCCAAUUUUCUAAGUGUGUUCAUUUCAGAGUUUAUCCUAUUCAUUGUUCUUUCUUUCUUUUAAAAAUUUCUAUGACUGAGAAGAAGAGGAUUUAUCUGACUCAACUGGAGAUGGCUCCCUUCCCUUAUUUAUUGUUGCAUCCUGAAGCUUCCCCCAUGCUGGGCUCAGUGUGAACAAACAGCGCGGGAGAAUGCAACCACUGCAGAGGUGCAUAUGUUUGAGAUACCUGGCCACUGGAGGUCAUCUCGUCUACUAUAUUCACCGCAGAUAAAGAAUGAAAAGAGAAUACACAACCUUGUGAUUGCUAGCAGUGAAAGCUCAGAGUUAUGACAUAACAGAAUUGGCUCAUGUGACUAUGGAGGCUGAGAUGUCCCAAGAGCUGGAUACCCAGGAGAAGCAAAGAGUGGUUGAUCAUACUGUAAAACUCAAAUGUGAAGGGAAGGCUGGAACCUACUGGAAACUGAAGAUCUAACGAAAAGAAGGAACUUUUAGGAACUAGCAGAGACUUCAAAAUGUUGAGAACUCUCUUUUUUCAUAAGAGAAGAUAAAAACUCUGAUGGUCACACUCAUAAAGACAAAAAACAAAUAAAAAACAAACAAAAACUCAGAAUCACAAGAGCAAAGAAAAUGUAGGUAAAACAAUAACAGAAGAGGUAAAGAAAUUUAUGUGAAUUGGGACACUCUGGGGCACAGAACAGAAGAGGAGAAGAAACAUGAAAGUAAUGCUCUGCACAAGGAUGUCUGACUGUCCUUGAUUCCAAGGGCAUUUAAAAUUAGCCACUGGAUGAGAACCAUGAAAUGCCAUGACUCUUACAGCUCCCAUGAAAGACAUUGGAUGGAACUUAUCCUAACUGGACCAAAUUCUAAAAAAUUUUACAUGAUAUUAUAAUGAGUUGAAAGUUGAAAAAAAAAAGCUCUUCUAGAUUACCAAGAAUAAAACACAAAUUUCUAGCUGACUGAAUUAAUUCUCAUCUCUCUAUAGAAAGAUCAUAGAAAUUUUUUUUAUCAUGCAAAGAAAUAGCUAAAAAUUUACAAAAAUAUAGACGUGCAUUAGGCAGCUCAUGAAUAAAUGCGUUUUUUCCUUUUUUCCUCCAGAAUUUUGUGAUGUUUAUGGUACUUUUCGGCUUUUAAAAUUUUGUAUUUAAUCAGGAUUUAUUACUUCAUUGUAAGUAAAUAUUAAAUUUGUACUCCAUCUUUG